GAUGAACGCUGGCGGCGUGCCUAAUACAUGCAAGUCGAGCGAACAGACGAGGAGCUUGCUCCUCUGACGUUAGCGGCGGACGGGUGAGUAACACGUGGAUAACCUACCUAUAAGACUGGGAUAACUUCGGGAAACCGGAGCUAAUACCGGAUAAUAUAUUGAACCGCAUGGUUCAAUAGUGAAAGACGGUUUUGCUGUCACUUAUAGAUGGAUCCGCGCCGCAUUAGCUAGUUGGUAAGGUAACGGCUUACCAAGGCGACGAUGCGUAGCCGACCUGAGAGGGUGAUCGGCCACACUGGAACUGAGACACGGUCCAGACUCCUACGGGAGGCAGCAGUAGGGAAUCUUCCGCAAUGGGCGAAAGCCUGACGGAGCAACGCCGCGUGAGGGAUGAAGGUCUUCGGAUCGUAAAACUCUGUUAUUAGGGAAGAACAAAUGUGUAAGUAACUAUGCACGUCUUGACGGUACCUAAUCAGAAAGCCACGGCUAACUACGAG
RNAcentral lists this ribosomal RNA (497 nucleotides) under uncultured bacterium. Its description in RNAcentral is "partial 16S ribosomal RNA". It matches the Rfam family "Bacterial small subunit ribosomal RNA", at positions 28 to 507 of the family's 1533-position model. The record is from RNAcentral.